GACGAACGCUGGCGGCGUGCUUAACACAUGCAAGUCGAACGCUGAAGCUCAGCUUGCUGGGUGGAUGAGUGGCGAACGGGUGAGUAACACGUGAGUAACCUGCCCUCUUCUUUGGAAUAACGCCCGGAAACGGGUGCUAAUACUGGAUAUUCACUGAUUCUCGCAUGGGGGUUGGUGGAAAGGUUUUUUCUGGUGGGGGAUGGGCUCGCGGCCUAUCAGCUUGUUGGUGGGGUGAUGGCCUACCAAGGCUUUGACGGGUAGCCGGCCUGAGAGGGUGACCGGUGACAUUGGGACUGGGAUACGGCCCAGAGUCCGACGGGAGGCAGCAGUGGGGAAUAGUGCACAAUGGGCGAAAGCAUGAUGCAGCGACGCCGCGUGAGGGAUGGAGGCCUGCGGGUUGUAAUCCUCUUUCGCUCAUGGUCAAGCCGCAGCUUUGGGUUGUGGUGAGGGUAGUGGGUAAAGAAGCGCCGGCUAACUACGUG
Molecule: ribosomal RNA, 482 nt
Filed under: uncultured bacterium
Lineage: Bacteria
Description: partial 16S ribosomal RNA
Rfam family: Bacterial small subunit ribosomal RNA
Source: RNAcentral